RNAcentral lists this long non-coding RNA (2124 nucleotides) under Equus caballus (horse). Its description in RNAcentral is "lncRNA (ENSECAG00000035498.3)". The record is from RNAcentral. Lineage: Eukaryota; Metazoa; Chordata; Mammalia; Perissodactyla; Equidae.
CUUCUGGAGGCUCUCAGGGAGAAUCCAGUUCAUUGUCCUUUCCAGCAUCCAGAGCCUGCCCACAUUCCUUGGAUGGAAUCUUUCCAACACUCAGACCUCUGUUUCCAUCUUCACAUCUCCUUCUCUAAUUCUGAUUCUCUUGCCUUCCUCUUUCACUUAUAAGGAUCCUUGUGAUUACUUUGGGCCCCUAGAUAAGCCAGAAUAAGCUCGCCAUCUCAAGAUCCUUAACUUAACCACAUCUGCAAAGUCCCUUUUGCUAAGUAAGAAACCCAGUCUAAUCAUGAGAAAAACAGCAGCCAAAUCCCCGUUGACAGACAUCCUACAAAAUAUCUAAUAGAAGACUCUUGAAAACUACCAUGAUCAUCAAAAACAAGGAAAAUUUGAGAAACUCAGUCAAGAGGAGCUUAAGGAGACAUGACAACAAAACGUAUUAUGGUAGUCUGCAACAGAAAAAAAAAGACAGGUACAAAUUAAAGAAAUCUGAAUAAGGCAUUUGUCAAUUAGUAAGCAACACCCUGCAAGAAGUUAACAUGAAUAGAAAGCUGUGUGCAAAGCCCUAGGUAAGCACAGCUUGCAAGAGUCUCACGAUUCAAGGGAGAAUUAACCUUGGAGUACAUGGUCUGAAAGGCAUUAGGACUUCACGUACUAUGACUGAAGAAAAUGGAAGUAUGAGAGAAGGAAAAGAAAGGGAUGCCAGUCUAUCAAGAUGUGAGUUGUGUAAUUCAACGUGACUUUUUCCUGUAUCGUUAAGCUGUGGAGUUAAGUAUGGGGCAGCUAUCCCUGAAGCAAUUUACAUAAAAAUAACUGAUGCACAAGGAGCUGAAGAAGCAUGCAAUAAGUCACCACUUAUUACUCCAGCUUCACCUCAGUUAGAAUAUAUAUGUAUCAAGUACAUCGAAGGGAAAAAUAAGGAGUACAGAUUGAAAAUAUAUGGAAGUGGAGGCAUGAGAUGAUGCAAGCCUGAAACACUGAAAUGUUAUUGAGGAUGAACACAAUGGUAUACAUGUUAGGAAUAACAUAAACAUAAUCAAAAAGUAAGUAUGAAUGAAUGGUAUCCCAUAUUUUACAUAUUUUGCUACAUGAUAAAGGAGUUUUGAAAUAUCAAGAACCCUUUAUUUGUCAUAAUAGUUCAGUAGGACACUAGCCUGCUUAAGCAUCCAGCAUUCAUUCCUCCCUUGGGCAGGCUAUUAUGCACAUCUGGCCAUACUUCUCAAAGAGAGGUACGAACACAUCUGAACUCUAUGGCAUUGUGCCAGUGGCUAUACAUAGCCACGAUACAAAGUCAAGGUUCAUCUUCCAAAACAUCAAUUUUAUUUGAAGUUCAGGAAAGUUUUGAAAAUUCUUGAACUUCUUUCCUAAAGUUCCUGAAGUUUAGGAAAAAAAUAAAAACUAUUUAUAGAAAAAAAACACACGUUUAUUUGUCUGCGGUCACAGGUGUUGAACAGGUAGUCAGUAGACGUUACCAGAUAUAGACCACUAGGAGGCACAGUCUAAAUGGGUGCCCAAUUUUGUGAUUCAUAGAAAGAACAGGUUACUAAUCUGCAGCUGUAUAUGAGGCUAUUCCAACAAUUUUGAACCAUGUUGCAUAAAUAAUGAAGUGCCCAUCCCUGAGGGUCCUCUUGCAUGAUUGACCUGAUUUAUUACUUUUCAAUGAAGAGGCAGCAGACAUGAAAAAUACCUCGGGGACUCUCUUGCCAUCCAGUCUUUUCCGCUUCACCAAAACAAAUUCAAUCCUUGUUCUGGGACUUUUGGCUUUAAACUUGCUGCUUGUUCUCACUUUUCCUUCUGAAUUAAGGCUCCGCACAAUCUUCUCUGUAAACACUCUGCCUCUCCUUUUUGCUACAACACCACGGGAUUCAUCUGGUGAAAGUAUCUCCUGGAUGGACCAUGUUGCAACACCUCAAUUUGAAUACUACGCUCAGCUGGACCUGCUAACUGAAGGCAGAUGGCAAAAUGUUUCAUAUGCGAAUCCUUUAAUUUAUAUUUUAUUCAGGCUGCUUAUUGAAGUUAGUUAAAAUUUACUUUUGCAUUAUAAUAAAACUAUCUUAAAACAAUAACCAAUGUGUGGAAAGAAAAGUUACCUCUAUUUUUAAACAAUUUCUAAGAAAUAAAUGUGAUAUAAAG